CUGCGACCUGAGGAAGUCGUUUACACAGUGUGGCAGACACCACUUCUGAAAUUCACACCCCCUCCCACCCCCGGAUUUAUUCCCCCACCCCGUGCACGCAGGGACGGACACGCCCCCACUCCUGGGCGGCCCCUAAGAGAGGUUCUAUUUCCCACCAGCCUUAGCAAAGGUCAGGACCUGUGCACUUAAGGAAGAGCUUCCCCUACCGGAAAAAGGAUUUCCCAGGAUGUCUCAAGUAGGCAGGCUGUGACUAAGGGAGAGGCCGAUUAGCCUCACUAUGAGAGACAGAGCAUGAACGGGGGAGGGGCAGAGAGAGAGGG
Long non-coding RNA from Leopardus geoffroyi (Geoffroy's cat), 320 nucleotides. RefSeq lists it as uncharacterized. The record is from RefSeq and is a predicted model, not a curated record. The transcript is spliced from 3 exons. Lineage: Eukaryota; Metazoa; Chordata; Mammalia; Carnivora; Felidae.